This 76-nucleotide transfer RNA is filed under the name Deinococcus sp. QL22. RNAcentral's name for it is "tRNA-Lys". It matches the Rfam family "tRNA". From Rfam's summary of the family: Transfer RNA (tRNA) molecules are approximately 80 nucleotides in length. Their secondary structure includes four short double-helical elements and three loops (D, anti-codon, and T loops). Lineage: Bacteria; Thermotogati; Deinococcota; Deinococci; Deinococcales; Deinococcaceae. The record is from RNAcentral.
GCCCUCUUAGCUCAGCUGGUAGAGCAGCCGCCUUUUAAGCGGCGAGUCGCAGGUUCGAGCCCUGCAGGGGGCACCA